CCGGCUAGCGAGCGACUCCACUUCCCCCUCUUUCUCUCCCCCACCUUUUCCUCCGUCGCACAGCCGCCGCCACCCUCCAUCACCACGUCUCGAAGCCAGCGCCGCUGUCGCCAGAGGAAAAGAGCAGGGGAACGCGCAGCCAUCGAUCCCGUGCACCGUCUCUCCCUCUACUUGAGGACUUGCGGCGAAGAAGUCGCCGGAGGCGGAGCUCGACCCGGACGACGACAGCCAGAGGACGUCAAGGCCCCGCCGAGCAGGAGCCUGGCUAGAGGAUAGUGUGGUGCAGCCGUGCAGGGUGCCUCACCACCAUCGUCGUCCUUGCCACCACGGGCGCCACUGAGGCCAGCCUCUCCUCCACACACAGGUUCUUGCAGAUCGUAGGGCUUGAUGUGUGCUGCAAUUUAUUUGGCAUUAUGAACUCUAGCAUGACAAAUGGAUCUGGGGUGAUGGAUUUAACAAUCACUGGAGAUGGAUGCUGCCUUUGUGCAGUACUAGCAAUCAAAUGGAUUUGGGAUAAGGGAUUUGGAAUUGUGAAUGUGAGCAACCAAGCAAUCAGGCUUUUCAUCCGCCCGUUUUUGUGAAGGAGGUUUGCAGAAACAACAAUAUUGCAAAGCUUCACCGUCUCUGCAACAUCAAUAUCCCUAAGGUACUUCUGCACUAUCUUGACUGAACCUCAAGUUUUUUACAGACCAUAGCCUGCGUUCCUCGUCAUUUCGUGGAGAUGAUAAUUUCUGAGAUUUUACUACUACUUGUGUGAUUACGAGAUUGAUUUCGAUCUGUUAGAGCUACAUGUUGAAUGGGGUGAUGAGGUCUACAAGGCUGCAGUGAAUUGUUUGGUGGAAAUCAAAGAAUGUGGCAGGCUGGCGGACAGACCAUCAUACCCGAGAUUUGAAAUUACAAGGAGGACAGGAAGGCCACUCCAGUGGAAGUGUUGAGUACAUGUGUAGCCAAGUGAAGCGUCUGAGAGGUGUGAAAGCCAGGGCGAUUGGUAUGACCAUACGAGCUUAACAUGCGCUUACAAGAAAGACUCUUCUGCUUCUUAUAGGUUGUCCUAUGAUUUUUUGCUAGAAUCUUUUUGUGGAUAAUUUAAAACUGAAACAUUAGUACCUAUUGGAAUCGUCAUAAUGGUAUUCAUAGAUUUUGAUACUUGUGAGAAAUGGCAAUCCAUACUAUUUAACGAUGUGGCUAGGGUUUAAAAUUUAGUUGGCUUGCUACAAACACUGUGUUAAAUAAUGCACAGUUGUGUGAUGUCGAUUAUUGUGAUGAUAAUUUCCUGUCUGUUAUAACUACAGGUUGAUGGUUAUGGUAUAAACUCAAUUGUUGAUAUAUUUUUUUACUGGUUUUGGUUACAAGUCUCGUGAAGAACUAAGGUUUCCAGCAGAAAAAACUAAGAGCAUUAUGGUUUUCCCUUCCCAACAAUGAUGGAUACACCAGAACUCGUAUAUAUGGACCUUUGCCAAGGAUAUUCAUUUCUGAACUUAUUGUAGAUUAGCUGAGUGCUCUGAGCCAGGUGCACGAUCCAUACAAUGGUUUUCAUGGUCAUUCAAGUCGAGCGCCGAGACACUCGAGGUGAUGAGCUAGAGUUCGGUGCUUCUGCUGGUGCAUACGCAGGUUUUGGUACAAUAGCUAUUUAGCUAAUUAUUUGUUAUAUCUCAUAAGUCGAAUGAUCAAUUGGCUUUGACUAUAAAUUACUAAACAGACAUAGCAGACUAGCUGAGUACCUACGUAGCUAAUCAUUGAUCUUGUCUUGGGUGAAAGGGUGUCGUUUGUUAAUUCAGAGACUGACUAAAAGGUAACCCAUACGGCUUUAUUUUUUUUACUUCCCUUCUGAACCCUUAUUUACUUGGCUUAUGUUGAUGAUAUUUCUAAUCUUUGCAGGUAUACUCAACUGCAUCUUAGUUUUGUGCUCCUGCUAAUAUAAAUAUCAUAACUCUCAAAGUUUUCAUUAUUUUUUUUACAGAUUCUUGAAGCUUUACGUGUUGGAUUCUCCAAUGUAAUUGAACUAGCUCAACAUCAUGUAGUUACAUUGUCAUGGUAGUAAUCUUUGCCUAUUGUUGACUUAAGAGAGCUAGCUGUUUGCUAGAAUAUAGAGUAUUAAACUGCUAAUUUUACACCUAUUUAUGUACAUGUCAUCAUAGUUAGAUUUCAGAAUCAGUUUUGAUUUAUGAAAAUGCUAGCUCUUUCAUAGUAUAAAAAUAUUUUCAUGAAUUAUAAUGGCAAAUUAUUUUUCUUGUUUUCACGAGUAAUAAUGCCAAAUGCUUUCCUUAUGGUAUUCAGAAGUUAAGGCACUGCGUUUCAGAUCGACGACGCUUUAUACAUGGGUGGGGUUGGCAGUUUUGAGCCACUUAAUUUACGGGUGGCGAUUGCUGUCACCUUUGUUUAAUACCAAAUAUAUUAUCCGUCUGGCUAGAUUUUUAUUAGUUUUUGUGUCACGGGCUGCUAAGAAUGUUCUAGCUGCUGCGGCGGCGACAUCGUCAGUUCUUGCUUUCAGGGCACCCUACUGCAAAUACACCUUCUGGAUCAGGUAUGUAUCAUAUGGCCGUUUGUCUCUCCAGCACGCACAUGAACUACAACCUUAUUUGUGCUUAGUAACAUAUUUUGUUAAAUCACUAGUAGAAAAAGGGUCAUCUGUCCCGGUUGGUAAGGGCCUUUUGUCUCGGUUUUUGAACCGGGACUAAAGGGUCGUUACUAAUGCCCUAGCCUUUUAGUCCCGGUUCUUUCAUGAACCGGGACAGAUGGGCCUCCACGUGGCCGGUGCGGCGAGCCCAGGCAGGAGGGCCUUUGGUCCCGGUUGGUGGCACUAACCGAGACCAAUAGGCGUCCACGCG
Triticum aestivum (bread wheat) is the source of this 2828-nucleotide long non-coding RNA. RefSeq lists it as uncharacterized. Lineage: Eukaryota; Viridiplantae; Streptophyta; Magnoliopsida; Poales; Poaceae. The record is from RefSeq and is a predicted model, not a curated record. The transcript is spliced from 4 exons.